UACGGAGGAUGCAAGCGUUAUCCGGAAUCAUUGGGUUUAAAGGGUCCGUAGGCGGGCAAUUAAGUCAGAGGUGAAAGUCUGCGGCUCAACCGUAGAACUGCCUUUGAUACUGAAAGACUUGAGUUAUUGUGAAGUAGUUAGAAUGUGUAGUGUAGCGGUGAAAUGCAUAGAUAUUACACAGAAUACCGAUUGCGAAGGCAGAUUACUAACAAUAUACUGACGCUGAGGUGCGAAAGUGUGGGGAGCAAACAGG
RNAcentral lists this ribosomal RNA (253 nucleotides) under uncultured bacterium. RNAcentral describes it as "partial 16S ribosomal RNA". It matches the Rfam family "Bacterial small subunit ribosomal RNA", at positions 524 to 776 of the family's 1533-position model. The record is from RNAcentral.